AGCAGUCGCCGCGGGUAAUACAGAGGGUGCGAGCGUAAAUCGGAUUUACUGGGCGUAAAGCGUGCGUAGGCGGCUUUUUAAGUCGGAUGUGAAAUCCCUGAGCUUAACUUAGGAAUUGCAUUCGAUACUGGGAAGCUAGAGUAUGGGAGAGGAUGGUAGAAUUCCAGGUGUAGCGGUGAAAUGCGUAGAGAUCUGGAGGAAUACCGAUGGCGAAGGCAGCCAUCUGGCCUAAUACUGACGCUGAGGUACGAAAGCAUGGGGAGCAAACAGGAUUAGAUACCCCUGUAGUCCCUGUCUCUUAUU
RNAcentral lists this ribosomal RNA (303 nucleotides) under uncultured bacterium. Its description in RNAcentral is "partial 16S ribosomal RNA". It matches the Rfam family "Bacterial small subunit ribosomal RNA", at positions 507 to 808 of the family's 1533-position model. The record is from RNAcentral.